This 214-nucleotide small RNA is filed under the name Streptomyces sp. MP131-18. RNAcentral describes it as "Actinobacteria sRNA Ms_IGR-5". It matches the Rfam family "Actinobacteria sRNA Ms_IGR-5". The record is from Rfam by way of RNAcentral. Lineage: Bacteria; Bacillati; Actinomycetota; Actinomycetes; Kitasatosporales; Streptomycetaceae.
ACACGAGAAGGGAGGUGGUUCGGCAGAUGUAUGACAACCGGACGCGUGAGGUGACUGCGGCCUAACGGCCGUCGUACCACGACACGUGGCGCGCCGGCUCCGCCGGCCAAUCCCAAGCAGUCACCCGAUCCGCGGGCCGCCGGUAUCGUCCGGCCGGCUCCCCGGCGGGCGCAUCGAGCGCCUACCGGGGGCUACGGCCCGCGGGUCGUUUUUU